This 459-nucleotide ribosomal RNA is filed under the name uncultured bacterium. RNAcentral describes it as "partial 16S ribosomal RNA". It matches the Rfam family "Bacterial small subunit ribosomal RNA", at positions 338 to 795 of the family's 1533-position model. The record is from RNAcentral.
CCUACGGGAGGCAGCAGUGAGGAAUAUUGGUCAAUGGGCGCGAGCCUGAACCAGCCAAGUAGCGUGAAGGAUGACUGCCCUAUGGGUUGUAAACUUCUUUUAUAUGGGAAUAAAGUGCAGUAUGUAUACUGCUUUGCAUGUACCUUAUGAAUAAGGAUCGGCUAACUCCGUGCCAGCAGCCGCGGUAAUACGGUGGAUGCGAGCGUUAUCCGGAUUCAUUGGGUUUAAAGGGUGCGCAGGCGGGCCUUUAAGCCGGCGGUGAAAUCGCGGGGCUCAACCCCGCCGAGCCGUCGGAACUGGGGGCCUUGAGUGCGGCGGAGGCAUGCGGAAUGCGCGGUGUAGCGGUGAAAUGCAUAGAUAUCGCGCAGAACUCCGAUUGCGAAGGCAGCCUGCUGGACUGUAACUGACGCUGAUGCUCGAAAGUGUGGGUAUCAAACAGGAUUAGAUACCCUUGUAGUC